This 645-nucleotide ribosomal RNA is filed under the name uncultured beta proteobacterium. RNAcentral describes it as "bacterial SSU rRNA". It matches the Rfam family "Bacterial small subunit ribosomal RNA", at positions 37 to 678 of the family's 1533-position model. The record is from RNAcentral. Lineage: Bacteria; Pseudomonadati; Pseudomonadota; Betaproteobacteria.
UGGCGGCAUGCCUUCCAUGCAAGUCGAACGGCAGCACGGGUGCUUGCACCUGGUGGCGAGUGGCGAACGGGUGAGUAAUACAUCGGAACGUACCUUAUCGUGAGGGAUAACGCAGCGAAAGUUGUGCUAAUACCGCAUACGCCCUGAGGGGGAAAGCGGGGGACCGUAAGGCCUCGCGCGAUUAGAGCGGCCGAUGUCUGAUUAGCUUGUUGGUGAGGUAAAAGCUCACCAAGGCGAUGAUCAGUAGCUGGUCUGAGAGGACGAUCAGCCACACUGGGACUGAGACACGGCCCAGACUCCUACGGGAGGCAGCAGUGGGGAAUUUUGGACAAUGGGGGCAACCCUGAUCCAGCAAUGCCGCGUGAGUGAAGAAGGCCUUCGGGUUGUAAAGCUCUUUUGUCAGGGAAGAAACAGCNGCUCUAACACAGACUGCGAAUGACGGUACCUGAAGAAUAAGCACCGGCUAACUACGUGCCAGCAGCCGCGGUAAUACGUAGGGUGCGAGCGUUAAUCGGAAUUACUGGGCGUAAAGCGUGCGCAGGCGGUUAUACAAGACAGGCGUGAAAUCCCCGGGCUUAACCUGGGAAUGGCGUCUGUGACUGUAUAGCUAGAGUGUGUCAGAGGGGGGUGGAAUUCCACGUGUAG